GGAAGCUUAUAAGGGCGUACGGGGGAUGCCUAGGCUCUCAGAGACGACGAAGGACGUGGUAAGCUGCGAAAAGCUGCGGGGAGGUGCAAACGACCGUUAAUCCGUAGAUGUCCGAAUGGGGAAACCCACAUGGUUGAAGACCAUGUACCUCGCAAGAGGAGAGAACCCAGGGAACUGAAACAUCUAAGUACCUGGAGGAGAAGAAAACAAUAGUGAUUCCGCAAGUAGUGGCGAGCGAACGCGGAAGAGCCUAAACCGGUCUGCGUGCAGAUCGGGGUUGUAGGACCGACAAAAAGUUAAUCAAACGAAGUGGAAGGUGUUUGGAAGAUGCCGCCGCAGAGGGUGAAAGCCCCGUACACGAAAGGUUGAUUAAUGGGUUGGGAUCCUGAGUAGGGCGGGACCGGCGAAAUCCUGUCUGAAACUGGCGGCACCAUCCGCUAAGGCUAAAUACUCCUGAGAGACCGAUAGCGAAGUAGUACUGUGAAGGAAAGGUGAAAAGGACCCCAAGAAGGGGAGUGAAAAGACCCUGAAACCGUACGCCUACAAGCGGUCGGAGCUGCACUUCGGUGUAGUGACGGCGUGCCUUUUGCAUAAUGAGCCUACGAGUUACCUUGACAAGCGAGUUUAAGCCCUUCAGGGGCGAAGGCGAAGCGAAAGCGAGUCUUAACAGGGCGAGAGCUUGUUGAGGUAGACGCGAAACCGAGUGAUCUACCCAUGGGCAGGUUGAAGUUCCGAUAAUAUCGGAAUGGAGGACCGAACUGGUAAACGUUGAAAAGUUUUCGGAUGACCUGUGGGUAGGGGCGAAAGACUAAUCAAACUCGGAGAUAUCUCGUACUCCCCGAAAUGCAUUUAGGUGCAGCGUCGCCAAGAGUGUGUCGGAGGUAGAGCUACCAAUAGGGCUAGGGGGCUUCACCGCCUACCAACCCCUGAUGAACUCCGAAUGCCGACACAUUGCAACGGCAGUGAGGCGGUGGGUGCUAAGGUCCAUCGCCGAGAGGGGAACAACCCAGACCAUCGGCUAAGGCCCCGAAGUGAUCGCUAAGUUGAUAGAACGAUGUGGGGAUGCAUUGACAGCUAGGAUGUUGGCUUGGAAGCAGCCAUUCAUUUAAAGAGUGCGUAACAGCUCACUAGUCGAGCGUUCCUGCGCGGAAAAUAAGCGGGCAUCAAGCGAUCCGCCGAAGCCAUGGAUGUCACGAAAGUGACAUGGUAGGGGAGCAUUCCGGUUGCGUAGAAGCCGUGUCGUGAGGCAUGGUGGAGCGGUCGGAAAAGCAAAUGUAGGCAUGAGUAACGAUAAAGGAUGUGAAAAACAUCCUCGCCGUAAGACCAAGGAUUCCUGAUCGAUGUUAAUCAGAUCAGGGUUAGUCGGGACCUAAGGAGUAGCCGAGAGGCGAAUCUGAUGGCAAACGGGUUAAUAUUCCCGUACCUGUUAUAAGUUAAAAAGGUGACGGAGAGGUGUAGUGCACGCGUACUGACGGAAUAGUACGUUGAACCAUCUGAGAGGAUGGGAUAGUACACUAAGUCCACUGGACGAGGUGAUAGUUGCAUGAAGCCGCUUCCAAGAAAAGCCGAAUUAUAACAGCCCGUACCGUAAACCGACACAGGUGGUCGAGUCGAGUAGACUAAGGCGCUCGAGUGAUUCACGGCUAAGGAAUUCGGCAAAAUGGUCUCGUAACUUCGGGAGAAGAGACCCCCACGCGAGUGGGGCGCAGUGAAUAGGUCCAGGCGACUGUUUAGCAAAAACACAGGGCUCUGCGAAAUCGAAAGAUGAAGUAUAGGGUCUGACACCUGCCCGGUGCCGGAAGGUUAAGGAAGGGGGUUAGUCGAAAGGCGAAGCUCUUGACUGAAGCCCCGGUAAACGGCGGCCGUAACUAUAACGGUCCUAAGGUAGCGAAAUUCCUUGUCGGGUAAGUUCCGACCUGCACGAAUGGUGUAACGAUCUGGACGCUGUCUCAGCCGUGAGCUCGGUGAAAUUGAAGUAUCGGUGAAGAUGCCGAUUACCCGCAACGGGACGAAAAGACCCCGUGAACCUUUACUAUAGCUUCACAUUGUGUUUGAGUAUAGGAUGUGUAGGAUAGGUGGGAGGCUAUGAAUCUGGCACGCUAGUGUUGGUGGAGCCGCCGUUGAAAUACCACCCUUUCUAUACUUAGAUUCUAACUUUCCUUAUGGAGAGGACAGUGUGUGGUGGGUAGUUUGACUGGGGUGGUCGCCUCCUAAAGAGUAACGGAGGCUUGCAAAGGUACCCUCAGCAUGGACGGUAACCAUGCGAAGAGCGCAUUAGUAGAAGGGUGCUUGACUGAGAGAACGACGGUUCGAACAGGGACGAAAGUCGGCUAAAGUGAUCCGGUGUUUCCGCAUGGAAGGGACAUCGCUCAAAGGAUAAAAGGUACUCCGGGGAUAACAGGCUGAUCUCCCCCAAGAGCUCAUAUCGACGGGGAGGUUUGGCACCUCGAUGUCGGCUCGUCACAUCCUGGGGCUGGAGAAGGUCCCAAGGGUUGGGCUGUUCGCCCAUUAAAGUGGCACGCGAGCUGGGUUCAGAACGUCGCAAGACAGUUCGGUCUCUAUCUGUUGUGGGCGUAGGAGUAUUGAGGAGGUCUGGCUCUAGUACGAGAGGACCGGGUUGGACGCACCUCUGGUGUACCAGCUGUGCUGCCAGGUGCAGUGCUGGGUAGCUAUGUGCGGUCAGGAUAAGCGCUGAAAGCAUCUAAGCGCGAAGCCGUCUCCAAGAUGAGUACUCCAUUGAGGGUCGUGGAAGAUGACCACGUUGAUAGGCUAUAGGUGUAAGUGCAGUAAUGUAUUGAGCCGAGUAGUACUAAUUACCCGACAGCUUCCUAAU
This 2833-nucleotide ribosomal RNA is filed under the name bioreactor sludge metagenome. RNAcentral describes it as "bacterial LSU rRNA". It matches the Rfam family "Bacterial large subunit ribosomal RNA". The record is from RNAcentral.